This 240-nucleotide unclassified non-coding RNA is filed under the name soil metagenome. RNAcentral describes it as "partial contains 5.8S ribosomal RNA, internal transcribed spacer 2, and large subunit ribosomal RNA". The record is from RNAcentral.
AAGACUAUAGACCUGCGGAGUACCUGCGGAAGGAUCAUUACCGAGUGUUUUUAGAGGUCUGCCUCUAAACUCUCCACCCUUGAGUGACUGUCUAGCCAUCUGGCUUGUAACUGUAUGUUUUAUGCUUCGGCAGAUACGCUUCCGGUUUGUCCGGUUGAGGCUGCCGACAGUUGAACAAACAAACUCUUAAAAUUUAAACCUGUCCGAGUUAUUUUUGAAUAAUUAAAACUUUCAACAACG